AUGAUUUUGCAACUGCUGUUUGUUAUUACGUCUGCUUUAGAAGCUUCAAAUAUCGACGGAGAGCUACCUGGCUGUGCCAUGUUUAAAAACCUCACGAAGACACGCGAAUUCAUUGACAAAUCCCUGCUUAUCAGAAACAUCCUGGAUACUCGCAAGCACAUCUACAUCGAGGCUCCCCCUGGUUUCGGAAAAUCUACCAACCUACAGAUGCUUCGGGAUUUCUUCGCCAUGCAGGUCGACUCCAUGGGAUACUCCAUCAACCCGGCAAAAAUCCUGAAAACUGACGCAACCUUUCAGGAAGCCCUGAGGAGGUGUGGAGGGCGUCGGAACACCUCGACAGAACGCGGAGCCUUCGUCAUCGACACCAAAGACCAGUCCAUUGACGUGAAUAUCACUGAAGCCCUCGGCGUCUCCAGGAACCCUCUAAAAAACUAUGAUACCUUCUCGAAGUUGCCAUUGAAAAUAUAUGAGCAGUCACCAGAGUUGUUCGAAACUCAGUUUGCUCGUUAUCCUGUCCUCAUGCUUGACCUUGGAGCUUUGUCCACUAAUUUCUAUCAAGAUUUCGUACGCUCCUUCAAAAUAAUGGUUGCGAAGCUCUUUGACCAAUUUCGGUAUUUGUUAAAGAGCAGCAGACUUGGGCAAAACAACAAGGAUAUAUUUAUACGCUUCAGGGACCGGUAUAAAGAACUGGAUAUAAAGGAGGUAGUGCGUGGCGGAGAGAGACUCGUUCAACUCUUGUCAGCACAUCAUCACCGAAAAUCAAUAGUUCUAGUUGACAACAUUGACGUGCCCAUUCGCGAAGCUCUUUUAGCGCCUCACCUCAACGAGCAAAGUUUCAAAGGGAUCAAAUGGAGUGUUUCCCGAUUCGUCAAGUUACUCAUUAAAAGCAGUUUCGUCUUCAGGGCCGUGGUUACGGGUAACCUCAGACUGGAAAUCACAGACGAAUUGAUGCAUUUCUCCAUUUUCGAGGAUCAAUUUUUGCACCGGUAUUUCGGUCUUACAGAGGAUGAUAUUUCUGAGCUUGCAAUACGAUUCGAUGACCAAAAAAACAUUACGGACGUCCAAAAUUGGUACGGCAACUAUAAAACAACGCCCAAGGGGCGAAAACUAUACAACACUCGCUCGGCGAUUAGCUAUUUCAGAACAGGUGAGCUGAAACCGUACCGAGAUGAGGCCUGUAAGUUCAAAGCCCUGAAAAACCUCCUAGAUUAUGAGAGCGCAGGUCGCCACGUAGAAGACGCCUUUGACAAUCACACACGAAUCUUGAUUCGACAGAAGAUAACAGCAAAGCAUCUCGAGGGCCUAAAACGGACAAUCUUCAACUCCGAUCAAACCGUCAUCGACACGAAUUUAGUGUUACAGAUUCUCCUAGACCACGGUUUCUACUCAGUGUAUGACGAGAAUAAACUCUACGUCCCGAACAUUGAAGCUAUGUUAGACAUCAAGACUCUCAUCUUCGACCGGACGUACUACAUCAACAAACUAAAUAUUACCGAUUAUGUUAUUGACACCUUCGUACAAAGCCUCGAGCAACUUACUAGUGAGGACGCGUCUUUCCGGAACUUUUCCAAUGCGGUCACAGCACUUUUCAAGUACCGUGUGCCACAAGGUGCGAGGGAAUUAGCUCACACUUUGCUCUUUCUAGCGGCCGACGCUCGGAAGUUCGACUUGGUACGCGGUCCAAAAAGCCCAGACUGCAAACGGCAAGAUGUCCUUGUGAAACAGCGUAAGGACAUGGGGAUCAUCAUCGGGAUCACGGUGGAUCCACUUGAUUAUGAGGAGCUGAAAUCGGUUUUUCUCAAGAGUUUCCAGGUGUUUCAGGAAUGCAAGGCAAAGGUUGGCAUCUUGCUGGGUUUGAAACGUCGCGGACUGCUCGCGGAUCUCGGAAUGAUGUACAAGUUUGACAAUCGCACCGUUGUGGACAACAGUGAGUGA
This 1935-nucleotide long non-coding RNA is filed under the name Bemisia tabaci. Its description in RNAcentral is "lncRNA ENSSSA1NGG010690". The record is from RNAcentral. Lineage: Eukaryota; Metazoa; Arthropoda; Insecta; Hemiptera; Aleyrodidae.